UCUGAAGUCUGACGAGGAUGAGAACCUCCGGGGGCAAGAGGUUCGACUCGAGCGAAGCGAGAGAACGUUGCGCCAGCAACGGCCCGCAGGGCGAGCCACGCAGUGGCGAGUCAUCCUCUAUCACCG
Molecule: small RNA, 126 nt
Filed under: Salmonella enterica subsp. enterica serovar Litchfield
Lineage: Bacteria; Pseudomonadati; Pseudomonadota; Gammaproteobacteria; Enterobacterales; Enterobacteriaceae
Description: RtT sRNA
Rfam family: RtT RNA
About the family: This family represents a bacterial cis-regulatory element known as RtT RNA. The exact function of RtT is unknown although it is thought that it may be involved in changing the cellular response in relation to amino acid starvation.
Source: RNAcentral